This 1458-nucleotide ribosomal RNA is filed under the name Brevibacillus laterosporus. RNAcentral's name for it is "bacterial LSU rRNA". It matches the Rfam family "Bacterial large subunit ribosomal RNA", at positions 1 to 1457 of the family's 2925-position model. Lineage: Bacteria; Bacillati; Bacillota; Bacilli; Caryophanales; Paenibacillaceae. The record is from RNAcentral.
GUGGUUAAGUUAAUAAGGGCACACGGUGGAUGCCUUGGCGUUAGGAGCCGAAGAAGGACGCAGCGAACUGCGAUAAGCCUCGGGGAGUGGUAAGCACACUUUGAUCCGGGGAUUUCCGAAUGGGGGAACCCACCAUCUGUAAUGGGAUGGUAUCCUUCACUGAAUACAUAGGUGAUGAGAAGGCAGACCCGGUGAACUGAAACAUCUAAGUAGCCGGAGGAAGAGAAAACAAUAGUGAUUCCGUCAGUAGUGGCGAGCGAACGCGGAAGAGCCUAAACCGUAGGAUUUAUCCUACGGGGUUGUGGGGCGUUUCAUAUAGGAGUUACAAAAGACAGAUGUAGGUGAACAGUUUGGGAAGACUGACCAAAGAGCGUGAUAGUCGCGUAACCCAAACAUCUGUCUCUCCGAGACCAACCCCGAGUAGCGCGGGACACGUGAAAUCCCGUGUGAAUCUGGCAGGACCAUCUGCUAAGGCUAAAUACUACCUAACGACCGAUAGUGAACCAGUACCGUGAGGGAAAGGUGAAAAGCACCCCGGGAGGGGAGUGAAAUAGUACCUGAAACCGUGUGCUUACAAAUAGUCGGAGCACUUUCUAUGUGUGACGGCGUGCCUUUUGUAGAAUGAACCGGCGAGUUACGAUAGCGUGCGAGGUUAAGUCGAAGAGACGGAGCCGCAGCGAAAGCGAGUCUGAAUAGGGCGAAAGUACGUUGUCGUAGACCCGAAACCGUGUGAUCUAGCCAUGUCCAGGGUGAAGGUAGGGUAACACCUACUGGAGGCCCGAACCCACGCACGUUGAAAAGUGCGGGGAUGAGGUGUGGCUAGCGGUGAAAUUCCAAUCGAACUCGGAGAUAGCUGGUUCUCCCCGAAAUAGCUUUAGGGCUAGCCUCGGAUUUAGAGUCUUGGAGGUAGAGCACUGAUUGGACUAGGGGCCCUCAUCGGGUUACCGAAUUCAGUCAAACUCCGAAUGCCAAGUACUUAUAUCCGGGAGUCAGACGGUGAGUGCUAAGAUCCAUCGUCAAAAGGGAAACAGCCCAGACCAUCAGCUAAGGCCCCCAAGUGUAUGUUAAGUGGGAAACGAUGUGGAGUUGCCCAGACAACCAGGAUGUUGGCUUAGAAGCAGCCACCAUUUAAAGAGUGCGUAAUAGCUCACUGGUCGAGUGACUCUGCGCGGAAAAUGUAACGGGGCUAAACAUACCGCCGAAGCUAUGGCAGUCCUUAUGGACUGGGUAGGGGAGCGUUCCAAGCAGCAGUGAAGCCGUAUCGUGAGGAGCGGUGGAGCGCUUGGAAGUGAGAAUGCCGGUGUAAGUAGCGAAAAGACAAGUGAGAAUCUUGUCCACCGAAAGCCUAAGGUUUCCUGGGGAAGGCUCGUCCUCCCAGGGUUAGUCGGGACCUAAGCUGAGGCCGAAAGGCGUAGGCGAUGGACAACUGGUUGAUAUUCCAGUACCACCUCUGUUCCG